GACGAACGCUGGCGGCGUGCUUAACACAUGCAAGUCGAACGGAAAGGCCCUGCUUUUGUGGGGUGCUCGAGUGGCGAACGGGUGAGUAACACGUGAGUAACCUGCCCUUGACUUUGGGAUAACUUCAGGAAACUGGGGCUAAUACCGGAUAGGAGCUCCUGCUGCAUGGUGGGGGUUGGAAAGUUUCGGCGGUUGUGGAUGGACUCGCGGCUUAUGAGCUUGUUGGUGGGGUAGGUACUUACCCAGGUUUUGAAGGGUAGCCGGCCUGGGAGGGUGACCGGCGUCAUGGGGACUGAGGGAGGGACCAGAAGGGAAUGGGAGGCAGCAGGCGGAAGUAUUACACAGUGGGGGCGAGCGUGAUGCGGAAGCGUUGGGAUCGGAAAGACGGCUUUUUGGGUGAAAACAGCUGUCGCCGGAGACGAGGCGUGAGUGACGGUAAUGAGUAAAGAAGCACCGGCUAACUACGUG
Molecule: ribosomal RNA, 468 nt
Filed under: uncultured bacterium
Lineage: Bacteria
Description: partial 16S ribosomal RNA
Rfam family: Bacterial small subunit ribosomal RNA
Source: RNAcentral